RNAcentral lists this long non-coding RNA (300 nucleotides) under Elaeis guineensis (African oil palm). Its description in RNAcentral is "long non-coding RNA (EGUI_LNC028996)". Lineage: Eukaryota; Viridiplantae; Streptophyta; Magnoliopsida; Arecales; Arecaceae. The record is from RNAcentral.
UGUGGUCGAAAAAUCAAUGAAAACAAAAAAAAUAAAAAAAAUUAAAAGAUAAGAUCUUUUUUUAGUUAUUUUUUUGAGCUUAUUGAAUUUUUUUUAAAAAAAUAUAAUAGUAAAAAAAGAUUAUAAUAAUUUUUUUUAAUUUUUGAUUAAGAAGAAAACUUUUUUUUCUUUCUUUAAAUUCUUAAUUAAGAAGAAAAAAUAUACGUUAUUUUUUUUCUCUUUUUAUCAAUAUUUUUUCUUUUCUUUUCUUCUCCAAACUCCCAAAUAAAGUGUUAAGUUUAUUCAAUUAAAUGGCAGGUC